CCCUCUCUUGUAGGAGAAAAAAAAAGGUCUCUUUUCAUUCUUCUCAUCUCCUCUUUAAAUCAACCCAUUCCUGCCAUCAUCUUCUUCAUUAAAGUCUAGGGUUUCAUGGUUUAGAAAGAGAAAACUUCGACUAGAGAGAGAAAGUUUCGGUAAAGGUAAGAAACAUGUUUUUCAGAAUUUUCACCUUCUUUAUUUAAGGUUGUGUUUAAAACGUGAUGAGCAUGCUUUGAUAACUUGAGUAUAUUCUUGUGUUGGGUGGAGAAAAAGAGAAAGAAGAGGAGAGAAGGGUUCCAAGCAUGGAGAAAGUGAAAAUGAAGGGUUAGAGAGAAGCCUUGUUUUGUUAAUGAUUACCUAGAAGAAGUUUUUCCCAUCCGUUUUUGACAAAAUCCAAGGCAGAUUCAGAAUUGAAGAGCGAGAUUCCUCUAACCGGGUGGAAAAUGAACAGUAAUCAAAUCCGCACGGCCCUAUAAAUGUUUGUAAUUCUAUUGACAAAGCUGUCCGAAAUUUUUGGUGGAAGCACAAGGCAGACAAAAGAAAGAUUCACUUUCUCAGUUGGAAGGAAGAGAAGAACAACCUACAUUCUAACUUAGAAAGAGAUGAAUACAUAAACUUUAUUUUAAUGUGUAUUUGUAUAUAUGAAUUUUAAUUUAAUGUAAUUAUACACAUGAAACUUUGAUUGCGGUU
Molecule: long non-coding RNA, 684 nt
Organism: Gossypium raimondii (Peruvian cotton)
Lineage: Eukaryota; Viridiplantae; Streptophyta; Magnoliopsida; Malvales; Malvaceae
Exons: 2
Source: RefSeq, a predicted model, not a curated record